RNAcentral lists this transfer RNA (67 nucleotides) under Aquatica lateralis (Japanese firefly). RNAcentral's name for it is "tRNA-Asn". Lineage: Eukaryota; Metazoa; Arthropoda; Insecta; Coleoptera; Lampyridae. The record is from RNAcentral.
UUUAAAUGAAACCAAAAUAGAGGUCUAUCACUGUUAAUGAUAAAAAUGAAUAUUAUUCCAUUUAAAG